GGUUAAGCGACUAAGCGUACACGGUGGAUGCCCUGGCAGUCAGAGGCGAUGAAGGACGUGCUAAUCUGCGAUAAGCGUCGGUGAGGUGAUAUGAACCGUUAUAACCGGCGAUUUCCGAA
Molecule: ribosomal RNA, 119 nt
Filed under: Escherichia coli
Lineage: Bacteria; Pseudomonadati; Pseudomonadota; Gammaproteobacteria; Enterobacterales; Enterobacteriaceae
Description: partial 23S ribosomal RNA
Rfam family: Bacterial large subunit ribosomal RNA
Source: RNAcentral